UACAGGGGUCUCAAGCGUUGUUCGGAUUCAUUGGGCGUAAAGGGUGCGUAGGCGGCGCGGUAAGUCGGGUGUGAAAUCUCGGGGCUUAACUCCGAAACUGCAUUCGAUACUGCCGUGCUUGAGGACUGGAGAGGAGACUGGAAUUUACGGUGUAGCGGUGAAAUGCGCAGAUAUCAGGAGGAACACCAGUGGCGAAGGCGGUGGUCUGGGCCGGAACUGACGCUGAGGAGCGAAAGCGUGGGUAGCAAACAGG
This 253-nucleotide ribosomal RNA is filed under the name uncultured bacterium. RNAcentral's name for it is "partial 16S ribosomal RNA". It matches the Rfam family "Bacterial small subunit ribosomal RNA", at positions 524 to 776 of the family's 1533-position model. The record is from RNAcentral.